UCCUCAACAGUUAGCCCUUCCCUCAAGAAACAACAAACCUCAUCAAUAACCCUAAACAUAGAGUAGUUAUAGACUAAAACAUUUUCCCGCCCAAGUACAGGAGAUAGAAAAGGACACAGGCGCUACAGAACAAGUACCGCAAGGGAACGCUGAAAGAGAACUGAAAGAACUCAACGAAGGACCUCAAAGCAGAGCUUAACUCUCGUACCUUUUGCAUCAUGAAUUAGCUAGUAAGCCCAAGCAAAGAGCCCUUUAUGUUUGGUACCCCGAAACCGAGUGAGCUACUUCAAGACAGCCUACCAUAGGGCAAACCCUUCUCUGUGGCAAAAGAGUGGGAAGAUCUUUAAGUAGAGGUGACAGACCUACCGAACUCGGUGAUAGCUGGUUGCCUGAGAAUAGAAUAAAAGUUCCACUUUUUAGCAUUUUCCAUCAGCUGUGAUCUUGCACAACCCGACUAAGAGAUUACUAAAAAGCAUACUCAAGCGAGGAACAGCUCUCUUGAACAAAGAUACAACUUUACCAGCAGGCUAAAGAUUAUAACACUCAAGAUGCAAUUCCCAGGUGGGCCCGAAAGCAGCCAUCCUAAAAGAAAGCGUUAAAGCUCAAGUACCUAAGUCCCUAUAUUUCAACCCCCACAUCUCACGCCCCUAAAAAUAUCAGGCCCCCCCAUGCACGCAUGGGAGUGAUUCUGCUAAUAUGAGUAAUAAGAAAGAACUAAGCCUUUCUCGAAUGCAUCAGUGUACAUCAGAACGAACCCCCACCGACAAUUAACGCCCCCACAACAGAGGGCAUUGAGUAAAUACAAAGACACCUAGAAACCCCCUCAAUCGCUAGCGUUAACCUCACACCAGCAUGCCCCACGAAAGACACAAGGAAAAAGAAGGAACUCGGCAAACACUAGCCUCGCCUGUUUACCAAAAACAUCGCCUCUUGUCCAAUAUAAGAGGUCCCGCCUGCCCUGUGACAAAAGUUUAACGGCCGCGGUAUUUUGACCGUGCAAAGGUAGCGUAAUAACUUGUCUUUUAAAUAAAGACCUGUAUGAAUGGCUAGACGAGGGCUAAGCUGUCUCCUUUUUCCAGUCAAUGAAAUUGAUCUCCCCGUGCAGAAGCGGGGAUUCAAGCAUAAGACGAGAAGACCCUAUGGAGCUUCAGACACCAGGAUAGCUCCCGUAAAAACCCUAAGUAAAUAGGACUAAACACAAGAACCUCACUACCCCCAUGUCUUUGGUUGGGGCGACCGCGGAGAAACAACAAACCCCCGCGUGGAACGGAAAACCACAUAAUCCUUAAACCCAGAGCUACAGCUCUAAGGAACAGAACAUCUGACCUUCAAGAUCCGGCACAGCCGAUCAACGGACCGAGUUACCCUAGGGAUAACAGCGCAAUCCCCUUCUAGAGCCCAUAUCGACAAGGGGGUUUACGACCUCGAUGUUGGAUCAGGACUUCCUAAUGGUGCAGCCGCUAUUAAGGGUUCGUUUGUUCAACGAUUAAAGUCCUACGUGAUCUGAGUUCAGACCGGAGUAAUCCAGGUCAGUUUCUAUCUAUGACUCCACCCUUUUCUAGUACGAAAGGACCGAAAAGGGGGGGCCCAUGCCUUAGGUAUGCCCCACCCUCACCUAGUGCUCCCCACUAAAUUGAGGUAAGACGGUAAGUCCCUACCGCCCGAGAAAAAGGCACA
RNAcentral lists this ribosomal RNA (1677 nucleotides) under Eviota ocellifer (ocellated dwarfgoby). RNAcentral's name for it is "16S rRNA". The stretch from base 105 to 1563 matches the Rfam family "Bacterial large subunit ribosomal RNA". Lineage: Eukaryota; Metazoa; Chordata; Actinopteri; Gobiiformes; Gobiidae. The record is from RNAcentral.